RNAcentral lists this ribosomal RNA (386 nucleotides) under Picochlorum sp. RNAcentral's name for it is "partial small subunit ribosomal RNA". It matches the Rfam family "Eukaryotic small subunit ribosomal RNA", at positions 582 to 975 of the family's 1831-position model. The record is from RNAcentral. Lineage: Eukaryota; Viridiplantae; Chlorophyta; Trebouxiophyceae.
AUUCCAGCUCCAAUAGCGUAUAUUUAAGUUGCUGCAGUUAAAAAGCUCGUAGUUGGAUUUCGGGUGGGAAUGGCCGGUCCGCCGUUUCGGUGUGCACUUGCUAGUCCCACCUUGCUGCCGGGGACGUGCUCUUGGGUUUCGGCUCGGGACACGGAGUCGGCGAGGUUACUUUGAGUAAAUUAGAGUGUUCAAAGCAGGCCUACGCUCUGAAUACAUUAGCAUGGAAUAACACGAUAGGACUCUGGCCUAUCUUGUUGGUCUGUAGGACCGGAGUAAUGAUUAAGAGGGACAGUCGGGGGCAUUCGUAUUUCGUUGUCAGAGGUGAAAUUCUUGGAUUUAUGAAAGACGAACUACUGCGAAAGCAUUUGCCAAGGAUGUUUUCAUUA